RNAcentral lists this ribosomal RNA (468 nucleotides) under uncultured bacterium. Its description in RNAcentral is "partial 16S ribosomal RNA". It matches the Rfam family "Bacterial small subunit ribosomal RNA", at positions 28 to 507 of the family's 1533-position model. The record is from RNAcentral.
GACGAACGCUGGCGGCGUGCUUAACACAUGCAAGUCGAACGGAAAGGCCCUGCUUUUGUGGGGUGCUCGAGUGGCGAACGGGUGAGUAACACGUGAGUAACCUGCCCUUGACUUUGGGAUAACUUCAGGAAACUGGGGCUAAUACCGGAUAGGAGCUCCUGCUGCAUGGUGGGGGUUGGAAAGUUUCGGCGGUUGGGGAUGGACUCGCGGCUUAUCAGCUUGUUGGUGGGGGAGUGGCUUACCAAGGCUUUGACGGGUAGCCGGCCUGAGAGGGUGACCGGCCACAUGGGGACUGAGAUACGGCCCAGACUCCUACGGGGGGCAGCAGUGGGGAAUAUUGCACAAUGGGCGGAAGCCUGAUGCAGCAACGCCGCGUGCGGGAUGACGGCCUUCGGGUUGGAAACCGCUUUCGCCUGUGACGAAGCGUGAGUGACGGUAAUGGGUAAAGAAGCACCGGCUAACUACGUG